UUUAAAUUAACCAUAAUUUAUUUCUUUAUAUGGUAUAAUAAAAUCGGAGGCCACGACUGUUUACUAAAAACACAAUUCAGAGCAAUGAUUAAGAUAAUAGUAUUCUGAAUGAAAUUUGCUCAAUGCCAUUAAUAUAAGAGAGGUAAUUUUAAAGUUACUAAUUGAAAGUCUGGUUAAUAGCGGUCUUAACUAUGAGGAUCCUAAGGUAGCAAAAUAAAUUGGCCAUUAAAUGUGGUCUAGUAUCAAUAAUGUAACGAUGGUCUCACUGUCUCUACA
RNAcentral lists this ribosomal RNA (276 nucleotides) under Russula cf. xerampelina. Its description in RNAcentral is "partial ribosomal RNA large subunit". It matches the Rfam family "Bacterial large subunit ribosomal RNA", at positions 1741 to 2025 of the family's 2925-position model. The record is from RNAcentral. Lineage: Eukaryota; Fungi; Basidiomycota; Agaricomycetes; Russulales; Russulaceae.